RNAcentral lists this ribosomal RNA (520 nucleotides) under uncultured Glomus. RNAcentral's name for it is "SSU rRNA". It matches the Rfam family "Eukaryotic small subunit ribosomal RNA", at positions 569 to 1091 of the family's 1831-position model. The record is from RNAcentral. Lineage: Eukaryota; Fungi; Glomeromycota; Glomeromycetes; Glomerales; Glomeraceae.
CGCAGCCGCGGUAAUUCCAGCUCCAAUAGCGUAUAUUAAAGUUGUUGCAGUUAAAAAGCUCGUAGUUGAAUUUCGGGAUCAAAUUGUCGGUCGUGCCUCGGUACGUACUGGCGUUAUUGGUUCCUCCCUUCUGAAGAACCGCGAUGUCAUUAAUUUGGUGUCGCGGGGAAUCAGGACUGUUACUUUGAAAAAAUUAGAGUGUUUAAAGCAGGCUCGCGCUUGAAUACAUUAGCAUGGAAUAAUGAAAUAGGACGUUUGAUUCUAUUUUGUUGGUUUCUAGGAUCGACGUAAUGAUUAAUAGGGAUAGUUGGGGGCAUUAGUAUUCAAUUGUCAGAGGUGAAAUUCUUGGAUUUAUUGAAGACUAACUACUGCGAAAGCAUUUGCCAAGGAUGUUUUCAUUAAUCAAGAACGAAAGUUAGGGGAUCGAAGACGAUCAGAUACCGUCGUAGUCUUAACCAUAAACUAUGCCGACUAGGGAUCGGAUGAUGUUAAUUUUUUAAUGACUCAUUCGGCGCCUUAC